Prosopis cineraria is the source of this 3201-nucleotide RNA transcript. It is a transcript of the gene named probable disease resistance protein At4g19530, with no coding region annotated. The transcript has 3 exons. The record is from RefSeq and is a predicted model, not a curated record. Lineage: Eukaryota; Viridiplantae; Streptophyta; Magnoliopsida; Fabales; Fabaceae.
UGUUUUCCUCCUAUUUCAAAUAAUUCUUAGAUCAGAUUUGAAGAAGUGCUUACUCUUUUGCAUAUCAUAGCAAACCAGUCUGCUAUGGCUUCAUCUUCUUCCUCUAAUCCAUCUUCUCAAUCUCCAAAGAAAUAUGAUGUUUGUAUCAGCUUCAGAGGCGAGGACAAACGCCUCAACAUCAGUAGCCACCUACAUGAUGCUCUUCGAAGAAACCAAAUUGAAACAUAUAUCGUCAAUAGCCUCGAGAAAGGAGGAGUGCUAUGGACAUCUCUUGAGAAAGCCGUUGAAGAUUCAACUCUAUUUCUUGUGAUCUUCUCAGAAAAUUAUGCAUCUUCCACAUGGUGCUUGAAGGAGCUCACCAAAAUACUGGAGUGUUCCAAAAAUCAAGGUCAUCAUCGCCUUGUCAUGCCUGUAUUCUAUAGAAUAGAACCUUCACAUGUGAGGAAGCCAUCUGAGAGUUACCAGAAAGCAUUUGCAGAACAUGAGCACAAAAACAUAAACCAGCAACAAUUGCAAAAGUGGAGGGAGGCUCUUGCCGAUGCUGCCAAUUUAGUUGGUUGGCAUUGAAGUUUCACUAGGGAAGUGAAGUCAUCGAAGGCAUAACUCUGAAUGUUUCAGAAAUUGAGGAGAUGUGCUUGAGUCCCAAAACCUUUUGUUCAAUGCCGAAUCUGAAGUUUCUUAAUUUUCAUAAAACAUUCAAUGAUCCGGCUGGGACCAAGUUACAUUUUCUCACGGUUUAGUUUUUUUGCCAAAUAAACUUGGACUGUUGCAUUGGGAGAAAUACCCUUUAAAGUCUUUGCCAGCAACAUUCAAGGUUGAACAUCUUGUUUCACUUGAAAUGCCAAGCAGCAAUUUGACAAAACUUUGGGAUGGCAUCCAGAAUCUUGUGAAUUUGAGCAAGAUUCAACUGGUUGGAUAAAAAAAAUUUAAUAGAGCUCCUGAACUUUUCAAAGGCCAUAAAUCUAUCUGAAGUUAAUCUCAAUUAUUGCUCAAAAUUAUGAAGUGUUCAUCAAUCUAUUUUAUCUCUAAAUAGCCUUCGUGGUUUAUGGCCAAGAGGUUGCAAAACCCUUACUAGCCUCAAGUAAAACCCAUCUCAAAUCACUUAGUGAUCUCGGCCUUGAGGAAUGCUCAAAAUUGAAAAAAAUUUCAGGGACCUCAGAAAAUUAUUGGUUUGAAUUGAAGCUUUCAGGAACAGCCAUCAAUGAUGAAUUGUGCUCAUCAAGCGGGCGUCUAAACAAAAUUGAUUCAUUGUUUCUAAACAAUUGCAAAAGUUUGACAAGUCUUCCCUACAAACUGGUUGAACUGCGUAACCUUCGACGUCUUUAUGUUAAUGGUUGUAAUAAGUUAGCAUCAAAUCUGCGUUCCAUAUUUGAUGGGAUACGUGCUCUGGAAGUUCUAUGGCUAAGUGAUUGCAAUGAACUAAUUGAACUCCCAUUCAGCAUCAUCUUCUUGUCAUCAUUAUGUGAGUUAGCUCUCUCAAGGUCUAAUAUUGAGACUUUGCCUAUAAGCAUCAAACAUCUUUCAAGCCUGCAAGAUCUUUACUUGGAUGGAUGCAGAAGACUUCGGUCUCUGCCUGAACUCCCUCCCUCUGUCUUAGCACUGUCUACCAUCGACUGUCUAUCCCUUACGACUCUACCUCUACCUUUAACUAUUGAAGAUGAAGAAGGAAAAGAAGUAGAUUAUGAUGAUGAAGAUGAAGAGGAGCCAUUUCCGUACUUUUGCUUUACAAAUUGCAUGAAGUUGGAUCGACAAUCAAUCAAAGCCGUAGAAGCAAAAGCCGUCCUUGAGAUGAAUAAAGGCAUUUAUAGCACGGCUAAAAUAGAAUAUCCAGGAAAUAGAGUUCCAGAGUGGUUCAUGUAUAGGACUACACAGAACUUUGUAACCAUGGAUCUUUGCUCCAUUCCACAACCUUCUUGGGAUGGCAGUUUCAUUUUCUGCGCUGUCAUUCCUCAAUCACCACCAAGUACAUUCAUUGAUGCCACAAGGUUUAUUGAUGGUCAAUAUGCUUGCAUGGCUGCCACCUCGUUUGGGACGACUGAGUCACGUUGUUCAGAUCAUGUUUUCGUCUGGUAUGAUUCCUAUUCUUUUGAAGGAUUGCGAAGGAAAAUUGAAGAAAAGAAAAAAGAUGCUCAAAACAACACUUAUCAUCCAUCGGUUGAAAUAGAAUUCACAGUUACAUGUUGGAAGUCUUUAGAUUAUGGAAGAAUAGGGAAGAUCAAAGGGUGUGGGGUAUGCCCAACAUCUGCAAUUGAAUAUCAACAAUACAUUAAACAGAUUAAAUCGGCAUUGCAGCAACAUCUUAACUCUACUGCAAUGGGAUCACUUGCUCCUUUCACAAAGACGCUGUCUCUUGAAAGCGCAGAUACCACAGCUCUGAUGAAUACCAAGAAAUGAUUUUGAGUUUCAAAGAUCUCAAGCUAAACGAUCUUCGACUUCAUACAUGGCUCCCUUCCUCUUGAAAAAAGGUAUCCUCUGCUUUUAAUUCUGAUGCAUAAUUUUUGUUCCUACAACCCCAAUUUUUUUACUUCUUUUUUUUUAAAAAAAAAAUUCCAUAUUUACAAAUCGAUCAUAUAAAUAAAUAACAAAAACUGAGCAAAUUGAAGAGUUCAGAAAGAGCAAAUUGCAUUGAUUAUUUAACCUUCCCUUAUUGUUUAAGUAAGCUUCUGCGCACUUUUGCUUUCCCUUCUGCAAAAUCUUCUCAAACAGAGAAAACUUUGCCAUUAUUUUUCACUUUUGUAGAUUACAUUCCCUUGUCACUGCUACUUAUUGUUCCACUAUCCGAGCUAAGAAUAGUGAUCAUGACUUUCUACUGAAGCAUAAACAACCAUCCCAAAUCCCCAUUUAACAUUCUCAUUGAUGAUUACUUCCAUUGAAGAGAUGAUUUCAGCGAGGUUUCUGCUCUAAGCAAAAAUGGCAGAGGGGAACAAAAUAGAGGAGCCUAAGUCACUGUCUAAAGCCUACAUCGCAAAGCUCUCCAUAGCUUCUUUCCUUCCUUUUCUACGUCAGAAGGAUUUGGGAUUGAAAGGAGAAAGAAAAUAGGGGUAGUUCCUUGUGUCUUGAUUAUUAAAUCCUAUUAAAAAAAUAAAAAUUAAGUUUUUUGUGUGUUCUUUUUCAGUGAAUAUAAGUUGCUCGCAAGUUUUUUUCAGUACGUAUAAGUUGUUCUUUUUGUUUAAUUCAAGCUCUUUCUUUUAUUACUUACAA